UACGUAGGGUGCAAGCGUUAAUCGGAAUUACUGGGCGUAAAGCGUGCGCAGGCGGUUUUGUAAGUCUGUCGUGAAAUCCCCGGGCUCAACCUGGGAAUUGCGAUGGAGACUGCAAGGCUAGAAUCUGGCAGAGGGGGGUAGAAUUCCACGUGUAGCAGUGAAAUGCGUAGAGAUGUGGAGGAACACCGAUGGCGAAGGCAGCCCCCUGGGGUCAAGAUUGACGCUCAUGCACGAAAGCGUGGGGAGCAAACAGG
This 254-nucleotide ribosomal RNA is filed under the name uncultured bacterium. RNAcentral's name for it is "partial 16S ribosomal RNA". It matches the Rfam family "Bacterial small subunit ribosomal RNA", at positions 524 to 776 of the family's 1533-position model. The record is from RNAcentral.